This 253-nucleotide ribosomal RNA is filed under the name uncultured bacterium. RNAcentral's name for it is "partial 16S ribosomal RNA". It matches the Rfam family "Bacterial small subunit ribosomal RNA", at positions 524 to 776 of the family's 1533-position model. The record is from RNAcentral.
UACAGAGGUCUCAAGCGUUGUUCGGAUUCAUUGGGCGUAAAGGGUGCGUAGGCGGCGCGGUAAGUCGGGUGUGAAAUCUUGGAGCUUAACUCCGAAACUGCAUUCGAUACUGCCGUGCUUGAGGACUGGAGAGGAGACUGGAAUUUACGGUGUAGCGGUGAAAUGCGUAGAUAUCGUAAGGAAGACCAGUGGCGAAGGCGGCAUCCUGGACCAACAUUGACGCUGAGGAGCGAAAGCCAGGGGAGCAAACGGG